AGUCAUCUCACCACGGAACUUUCCCUCUGAACCAACCAGCCGUGGUUCCUGGAAUCCAAGUCCCCUGCAGUCCCCCUUCCGUGAGCUUUCUUUCAAACGUGUGGGGUUCGCCCCGGGAUCCAAGUCUCCACGCUGUUAAGGCUGGUCCAUAUCUCACUUCACAAGGACAGAAGCCAGGAAAGACUGGACUGGCCAGAAAUGGGGGCACCCACCUCUGUACUCUUCUGUCUGCCCAACUGGGCCAGAUAGCUCGAGUUGGGGCAGUCCCAAAGUGACAGCGUGUCCCCCGAGGAAGACUCCUCAGUCUUGACACCGCCUUCCUGCGGGCUGAGCGCCCUUGACCUGAGAACACUCCCUCGCACUGGUGCCUCUUCCCUGGAUUGAGGGUCUGGGGAGCCCGGAUCCCGCCUGCUGAUGGUCUCAAGUUUGCAAAUGUUUGUGAAGUGAAUGCAAUUUAUCAGGAAUCUACAACCUUAGGCUCUGACUUUUAAUGCCAAGGGC
This 501-nucleotide long non-coding RNA is filed under the name Sus scrofa (pig). Its description in RNAcentral is "lncRNA (ENSSSCG00030074198.1)". Lineage: Eukaryota; Metazoa; Chordata; Mammalia; Artiodactyla; Suidae. The record is from RNAcentral.